AUUGAACGCUGGCGGCAUGCCUUACACAUGCAAGUCGAACGGUAACAGGUUAAGCUGACGAGUGGCGAACGGGUGAGUAAUAUAUCGGAACGUGCCCAGUCGUGGGGGAUAACGUAGCGAAAGCUACGCUAAUACCGCAUACGAUCUACGGAUGAGAGCGGGGGAUCGCAAGACCUCGCGCGAUUGGAGCGGCCGAUACCAGAUUAGGUUGUUGGUGAGGUAAAAGCUCACCAAGCCUGCGAUCUGUAGCUGGUCUGAGAGGACGACCAGCCACACUGGAACUGAGACACGGUCCAGACUCCUACGGGAGGCAGCAGUGGGGAAUUUUGGACAAUGGACGCAAGUCUGAUCCAGCAAUGCCGCGUGCAGGACGAAGGCCUUCGGGUUGUAAACUGCUUUUGUUUGGGAAUAAACCUCUUUACGCGUAGAGAGCUGAAGGUACCAAAUGAAUAAGCACCGGCUAACUCCGUGCCAGCAGCCGCAGUAA
RNAcentral lists this ribosomal RNA (487 nucleotides) under uncultured bacterium. RNAcentral's name for it is "partial 16S ribosomal RNA". It matches the Rfam family "Bacterial small subunit ribosomal RNA", at positions 30 to 523 of the family's 1533-position model. The record is from RNAcentral.